GGAGAUGAGACAGAAAGGACAGAAAACCUUACGGCUACAGAAAAUAAGGCCAUUUAGUUUUCGAAGCGAACUUCAAUAAGCCGAAUAUGAUACGGAAUAGACCGAGAUAGCCCGAAAUGUAAGGGUAGGUGAGGGGAGGAUCAGAACCAUGGUCCCCGAGGCCAUUAUUAACCCAACUACGCCUGUAACGGAACGUGUUGAGUGAGGUAGAGGGAGCAGAGUGGGUCUGCUGGUUCAGUGAUAGACCGACCGUCGUGGUGGAAGGAGUGCUGUGUGUAUUCUCUCUCCACGCGACGUUCGCGACGUGCUUCGUAUCUUCUUCAUAUUAGUAGUCUGAGUUUUAUUCUCAUAUUUUUCACACCUGUUGGUCAAGGAAAAGCCGCCAAAAUUUUCCCUCACGACCUCAUCCGCAUUCCAUCUGUUGCCGUGGAGAACAGAGGCGCCACCGUCACGCUGGAGUCCACGUGCCAUAAACGGAGAAAAUGUGAAAUUCGUGGCGACGCAGAUGGCAAAGAGCCUAAAGAUCUGACAUCAUCAAGGACCAUGUUUCCCAGUGCUCAGAUCAAAAUGAGGUUGCUCUCACCGAGCAGUUCGCCCGCCACAUCGCCCACCAUGUCCAACUCUUCGUCUCCCACGCCUCCCGCCCUCAACUACAACCACAAAAUCACGGGGAUCCCCUGCGUCGCUGCUGCAUCUCGUUACACGGCGCCGGUCCACAUCGACGUUGGGGGCACCAUCUACACGUCAUCGCUCGAGACGCUAA
Molecule: non-coding RNA, 763 nt
Organism: Zootermopsis nevadensis
Lineage: Eukaryota; Metazoa; Arthropoda; Insecta; Blattodea; Termopsidae
Source: RefSeq, a predicted model, not a curated record